ACAUACUCACUAAGCCAAGCAAUAAGUUCAGGGCCUGCAGUUUGUUCCAGUUUGGAGUAUGCAUUUGAAGUUAACCAAAUGACCAUCCAUCUUCCCUCCCUUGGUCUGUAAUUCGCCCUUUCUGAUGAAAAUUUCUGGAGUAAAAUAUCGGCAUUUGCAACUAUCUCACAUUCCAUUAAGUUGUAUAGAGUAACAGAGGAAUCUUUUGAGAUAAUGCUUUUAUGUUUGUGAAACCAGGGGAAAAACUUCUUUGCUACUCCUCCAGGAGUUUCAUCAAACAGAUGUCUUUUAGUGCUUUCGAGAGCAGAAAUACAAAUAACAUCUGUAAUAAAAGAAAUGACUCGUUCAUCUGAUAAGGUGAUGGCAAAAGAUGGAGGUACCUGCUGAUAGGAAAGGAAUAACAGAACUCAACCUAUCAGUAUCUAGCACCUGCAAAGCAAAAAUUAUAAAUUCGAUAUUAUAAAAGAACAAAAUGAAAGGAAAGACAAAAUAAAAAGAUAAAGACAUUAAAAAAGCUCCCCACCUCUCUCGGAGUUUCAAGAUCAUCCAUAUUUCUUUCUGCUACUGGUAUAAAAAGUACUAGUUCAAAGUUCCAAAGAUGUUGCAGAGUCACUUGUCUAAA
This 622-nucleotide long non-coding RNA is filed under the name Capsicum annuum. RNAcentral describes it as "long non-coding RNA (CANN_LNC007469)". Lineage: Eukaryota; Viridiplantae; Streptophyta; Magnoliopsida; Solanales; Solanaceae. The record is from RNAcentral.